RNAcentral lists this ribosomal RNA (252 nucleotides) under uncultured bacterium. RNAcentral describes it as "partial 16S ribosomal RNA". It matches the Rfam family "Bacterial small subunit ribosomal RNA", at positions 524 to 776 of the family's 1533-position model. The record is from RNAcentral.
UACGGAGGAUGCGAGCGUUAUCCGGAUUUAUUGGGUUUAAAGGGUGCGUAGGCGGGUUGUUAAGUCAGCGGUAAAAUUGCGGUGCUCAACGCCGUAGAGCCGUUGAAACUGGCGGCCUUGAGUGGGCGAGAAGUACGCGGAAUGCGUGGUGUAGCGGUGAAAUGCAUAGAUAUCACGCAGAACUCCGAUUGCGAAGGCAGCAUACCGGCGCCCUACUGACGCUGAGGCACGAAAGUGCGGGUAUCGAACAGG